AGCUUGACACUGAACAUUGAGCCUUGAUGUGUAGGAUAGGUGGGAGGCUUUGAAGCGUGGACGCCAGUCUGCGUGGAGCCGACCUUGAAAUACCACCCUUUAAUGUUUGAUGUUCUAACGUGGACCCGUGAUCCGGGUUGCGGACAGUGUCUGGUGGGUAGUUUGACUGGGGCGGUCUCCUCCUAAAGAGUAACGGAGGAGCACGAAGGUUGGCUAAUCCUGGUCGGACAUCAGGAGGUUAGUGCAAUGGCAUAAGCCAGCUUGACUGCGAGCGUGACGGCGCGAGCAGGUGCGAAAGCAGGUCAUAGUGAUCCGGUGGUUCUGAAUGGAAGGGCCAUCGCUCAACGGAUAAAAGGUACUCCGGGGAUAACAGGCUGAUACCGCCCAAGAGUUCAUAUCGACGGCGGUGUUUGGCACCUCGAUGUCGGCUCAUCACAUCCUGGGGCUGAAGUAGGUCCCAAGGGUAUGGCUGUUCGCCAUUUAAAGUGGUACGCGAGCUGGGUUUAGAACGUCGUG
Molecule: ribosomal RNA, 516 nt
Filed under: Salmonella enterica subsp. enterica
Lineage: Bacteria; Pseudomonadati; Pseudomonadota; Gammaproteobacteria; Enterobacterales; Enterobacteriaceae
Description: bacterial LSU rRNA
Rfam family: Bacterial large subunit ribosomal RNA
Source: RNAcentral